ACGAAGAAGAAGCAGCCGGAAGCGUUCAGCUGUCAGUUUUGUAACAACAGUUCAACACUGAGGUUUGUAUGGGGCCAAACAAAACAAAACACGAAGCCACAGUUUCAUUCAUUGCUCUGUUUUAACGGCGGCAUGGAUCCUCCAGAGGUUGCCGAAGUGGAAGCUGCUUCUACCGGCCCACAGCAGAGCCCCAAACCGGAGCUUUCUGCUACGAUGCGGGCUAAGAUCGAGAGGAACCGGCAGCGGGCGUUGAUGCUCCGCCAAGCCCGACUCGCGAGUCGCCCUUUGUCCGCCGUGGAGGGCGCAACUUCGGCCAAAGUUUCCAAGACCAUCGACUCCGGUGCUGGCUUCUUCAUCGAGGAGGAGGAGGACGGAGAGGCGGAGCAGCAGGCCAAGAAGGUGGUGCACCAGCCAGCUCCAGUGAUCGAACCAGAGUAUCUGCUGUGUGAUGACUGUCAAAAACCCUUCAUGGACUCCUACCUCAGCAACAGCUUUGACUUAUCUGUGUGUGACAAGUGCAGAGAUAACGAAGAGAAACACAAGCUGAUCUCCAGAACGGAGGCCAAGCAGCGUUACCUGCUAAAGGACUGCGAUCUGGACAAGAGAGAGCCUCCUCUCAGGUUCAUACUGAAGAAAAACCCUCAUAACCCACGGUGGGGAGACAUGAAGCUCUACCUCCAGCUACAGGUGGAGAAGAGAUGUAUGGAGGUGUGGGGCUCAGAGGAGGCUCUAGAGGAGGCCAGAGAGACGAGGGAGGAGAACAGAGAGGUGCAGAAACAAAAACGCUUCAACAAGAAGGUCAAAGAGCUGCGCAGGGCAGUGAGGAGCAGCAUGUGGACCAAAAACACCAGCGCUCACCAGCAUCAGUACGGACCAGAGGAGGUGGUGGAUCCAGAGGAGGACCUCUACAAGAAAACCUGCACCACAUGUGGUCACGAACUCGCCUACGAGAAGAUGUAGACACUCGCACAAUGACUGUUCCAGACUCAAGUCAACUCGGACAAGACGUUUGGUGCUUCUUCAGUGGAGAUCUAACCAGUCAAUGGAAAACCCCACAGAGGACAGACAGAGAGCGGAGAGAGGGGGUGGAGGUAUGGCACUGCACACACACAAACAGGGGCCUUCACACAUCAGUCAGACAGCCCUCUAGUCAGGAGAACCCCUGGCUCACCUUCACACAGAUUCACAGAUCACACACACACACACACACACACACACACACACACACACACACACACACACACACACACACACACUGAAGUUGUGCUGACAUGAAUGUAUGCAGUCACUUUGACUCACAUAAACAUGCCUCCCCCCUCCCUGCAAACACACUUCAAAGGAAGAUUGUAACCUGACAGGCCGGCAAAACACUAAGAACCCACAUACGCACCUUUUUUUUCUUUUACCUAAUUUUUCCUCUCAGAAACCCACCUGUUUCUUACAAACUUUCAAGUCAGUCUCUUGCCUUUACUUUUUCAUCUCUCUUGCUGUGUCUCAGUCUCAGUCAGUGUCCGUAUGCUGGUACUCAGGUGCUGUUUGUCUGAUGUUCUUCCCCUCUCAUCCUACUCUGUACACCCCUAUCAGAGGAUUAUGCACACACUGAACCAUGUCCUAACUAGACACAAUGUAGGUACUGCCUGUUCAGCUGGGCUGAUAUGAACCACAGCUCUGUGUAAUCUUAUCUGAGACAUGUUGCUAAGCUGAUGAGCCACGAUGCUGGCACCAACCUAUACAUGACAAUAUCUCCCGGAUGUGAAAUGCAACAGGAUACAUAAAACUAUUUUUAGACAAAUCUGACAGAGCAGCUGUUUCCAGAUGUUGAAGGAUGCAGGCAGUGCUGAGCUCUCACUCAGUGUUUUGUAAGGUCAGUCAGGCUUUGUUGAGUUGUUUUGCUACAGUUCUGUGGGUGCUGAAACAGGAAGGUUCAAGUGUUCAGAUAACCCUAUAGAAACUGUUAGCCUCGACAAAGUUAAUUUAAGGUUACCACACAUUAUGCAGGGGCAAAUCCCUGAAUCACACAUGGUCUUCCGGUAAUUCUAGUGCGGUGCAAAAGAGGGCUUAAGGUGUGCUAAAGUAAUUCUAAAGAUUGACAAGUUUCUGAGCUACAGUAACUAAAUCACGCUUACUCCAGUUUCACUUUACUUUCAAAGUAUUACCUUAAUCUAACUGCAAACAAAUCAUUAGAAAACUUACAAAUACACUGAAACAAACAGACACAUAAAGAGCACAAUAGUCUGAACUCAAGGACCAUUUAAUAGCUUUUGAUCAUACUGAUAGAAUUUACCAGGUGUCAUGGAAUGGCUGUCCUAAGCGACAUCUUAUUUUGUGACUGUUGCUAUUCCUAUCAAGCAGUAAGUUGUGCGUAUAUGCAGCUUACAGUGAUAAUGGAAGUACAUAAUGGAAGUAGAUUUAUUACUUUUAAUUCUUUGCCAUUUUUCAGAUAAUGUUUCCUAUAUUUCAGACAGAGGUAGACAAAAGCAGGUUUCCCAGUUUAAGCCAGUGACAGCUGAGUUUUCCAAAUUAAAUAAAACUAAAUUCACGCUAUUUGUUUUAUUGAAUCUUGAGAUGUUUGAAAAAGAGACUUAGACAUGAAUUCAAUAGCUGCAUAGAAAUUAUGCAAAAAACUUAGUUAUUGGGAACAAAGUUAACAUUCUCAUCAGGAGCAACAUUGUGUUUUUCAUAUAGAGAGAUUGACCGUAUGUGCAGUAGAUUAUAAAAAGCAAAAAGUUAAGAUCAGACAGUUACAAAGUUGGUCUUAGCAUUAUAAGAAAAAGGGUUUAGUGGAUGAUAACUUAUUACUAUGACAGAGUUUAGCUGGACAAUUGUAGGUAGUAUUUGAGUAAAGUGGGCAAGCUAUGGUUGGUAGUAUGUGUUUGAACAAAAAACAGAUGGUUUAAUCUGCUCCUUACACUUUCCUCUUGUUUUUUGUAUAAUCUGACAGAACUGGUGUUUAAACAAGACUCACUUAUUUUAUGCAGAAUGUAACUAUAACCCAAUGUACAUGACAAGCACAUUAAAUCCACAGCUUCACCGGCCUUCAGUGCCUAGUUACGGUUGCUAAGCUGUUAGACAAUUUGUAAUAAUGGGGAUGGGGUUAGCAAAUGGCCGCUUGGAGAUGUUUCGUUUUCAAUUUUAUCAUCAAAUGAUCAUCGUCUAACAACUGGACCUUGAGGUUUUGCCAGCUGCUGCUUCAAAGGUCAGUGGGGAACAUUGACACUCAGUGUUUAAGCCAACAUGGAGAAAAUGGCAAUAAAGGCUCAGAAAAUGGAAAUUUAAAUAUAUGCAAUUUCACAACAACUGGGGAAACACUAAAAGACAAUGAUAUAUGAUGGACACAUCAACAACAACUAGAUUAUGGUCCUUGGAGCGCAGAAGCACUGUUUCCAAGACCAGGUAAUAAACUCAACAUACAAAGAUGUUUGAAACCUAAUACAUAAUCUCUGCUUUAUACCAUAAAAUUUUAUUUUUGACUACAACAGACUGCAAAAAAAAUACCACAGCUUCUUCUUUCUCAUUUCUGUCUUUCUUGUUUUUGCUAACAUUUUAUUUUUGCAAAUGCAUAACAUUGUCACUAAUAAAUAAUUAAUAAAUACUAUUUGUGACAUUUAGUCAGUGGGUGGUAGUUGAGAUGGUGAAGAAGUUUCAUGAGGUGGUUGUACAACAAGGGUCCAACUGGCUGAGAGUCAAAACACAAGUUAUGUUGAAUACUCUGUGACCUUUUCCCCUUCCAACUUCAUUUUCUAACCCCAGCACUCCUGAAGUCUGUCUCUCACCUUUGCCAAAGUGACAUCUGGCCAAUUCAGUCUCCGCUGUGAUAAGAACAAGGGAUGACUCGCACAAGAGAUAAAGGGAUGAUGAAGGGGAGAAUGAAAUAAUGCAGCAGAGCACUCAUCCUGCCAGUCACUUGUCUAAUUGCAGUGUCUGUCAGAGGAAACAGGUCUCCUCACACAGAUGAUUUCAUGCUAUUUUUCUCCUCCUUUCCCAUUACUCCCAUCACUCCUAUCUCUUUUAGCUGACUGGUAUUCUCAACUUCAAAUUUUGAUGCUUUCAUUUAGAAACAAGAUGUGAAUAGUAGGUCUUAUUGUUUUUAACAGACUUUAUAGGCAUUGUACACCAGGACUGGAAUGACAAUCCAGUUAUCACUUUCUCAGGAACAGGACAUGUAGAGUCUGCAAUGUGCACGUUUUUGCAUGUACCAUAUUGUACACACCACUGCAUGAAUACUGGAUGCACACUGUGCAGUGUAUUAAAGGAGAACUCCAGUAAUUGCAUGUCAAAGAUAAUUUACUAGUUUUGGGGAAUAACUAUUCAGACUGUUACUGUAGCUCUAAAGGAGAAAGUCUGAGAAAGAAUUCCCAAGCAGUAUCACUUCAGUUCUCUUGGUCUCGACAUGGGUAGGAGAAACACAUAUUUGGAGCUAAUCAUGUCACAUUUUGAGGAUUUUUAAGAUGCAAUCUUUUUGGCACUUCACUAAAAACACUGCACCUCUGUCUCAGCUUCAUUGGCUAGGACCACAAAAAUCUGCCUCUUGCAAGUCCUUUACUCUUUUGGGUACCAGCUUUAAGGUUAGGUUUUACCUCAGUUUGUCAACAUUAUUAACCAAAUUGGCUGAAAUAUGGUGUAACUCUGAAAACACACUCUGAAAAACUCAUAGCAUAAGAGCUGUCCUGUACAGAAGUGGUUCGGUGCAUUUUUCAGUACAGUGGAGAAAACAACAACAACAGAAAUCUUUUAACAAAAUCUAAUUACUCAAUGCCCACAUUUCUUAAUGUAACAGAUGAGAUACUAAAUGCUGCAUAGUGUAAACAAGAAAGUGUGAGACUAUUUGCCAAAUAUAAAGUAAACAAACAAAUUAAAAAAUCCAUUAAGACCAGUGCAACAGAUUCGUAAUUAACUUGACUUAAUCAUUAAAAACGGCAGUGCAAUUUCAGCUUCAUAAAUUGUGCAAAGUAAUGCUGCCUGUUUCUCUCUUUGGCAAUAACUAAUACAUUAUAAUUCCCAGUUGCUUCGGUAAUGGUUUUGGCCGCAUGAGUUCAUAGACAUUGCUUAAAAGCAGCUGAGGUAAGUAAUUUUUUUUUACUUUAGUUUUUUUUUUCUACUCUGGUGAUUGUCACAUCAAAGCGAUGCCUCUGAAUAUGUAUAUG
Acanthochromis polyacanthus (spiny chromis) is the source of this 5144-nucleotide RNA transcript. It is a transcript of the gene named xeroderma pigmentosum, complementation group A, with no coding region annotated. The transcript has 6 exons. The record is from RefSeq and is a predicted model, not a curated record. Lineage: Eukaryota; Metazoa; Chordata; Actinopteri; Pomacentridae.